RNAcentral lists this ribosomal RNA (409 nucleotides) under uncultured bacterium. RNAcentral's name for it is "bacterial SSU rRNA". It matches the Rfam family "Bacterial small subunit ribosomal RNA", at positions 97 to 520 of the family's 1533-position model. The record is from RNAcentral.
GGCGAACGGGUGAGUAACACGUGGGCAACUGCCCCCGGCUCUGGGAUAACUCCAAGAAACUUGGGGCUAAUACCGGAUAUGACCGCUGGCCGCAUGGUCUGGUGGUGGAAAGAUUUAUCGGCUGGGGAUGGGCCCGCGGCCUAUCAGCUUGUUGGUGGGGUAGUGGCCUACCAAGGCGACGACGGGUAGCCGGCCUAAGAGGGUGACCGGCACACUGGGACUGAGACACGGCCCAGACUCCUACGGGAGGCAGCAGUGGGGAAUAUUGCGCAAUGGGCGAAAGCCUGACGCAGCGACGCCGCGUGGGGGAUGACGGCCUUCGGGUUGUAAACCUCUUUCAGCAGGGACGAAGCGCAAGUGACGGUACCUGCAGAAGAAGCACCGGCCAACUACGUGCCAGCAGCCGCGG